Molecule: long non-coding RNA, 1260 nt
Organism: Betta splendens (Siamese fighting fish)
Lineage: Eukaryota; Metazoa; Chordata; Actinopteri; Anabantiformes; Osphronemidae
Exons: 2
Source: RefSeq, a predicted model, not a curated record
GACAGCAAGUACAGAGACCACAGCUCUAAUCAAGAACCUGAUGCGUCCUCCUUGUCUUCCAGUCACUCACAGGAACCAGGACUAGAGGGGUCCGCCUCCUUGGGUCAUCACGAACUAGACCUGGAGGGAUCUGCACCGGACCAUCAGGAACCAGGACUAGAGGGGUCCGCUUCGUCUGCCAUCAAGAACUAGGCCUGGAGGGAUCCGCACAGGACCAUCCCGAUCCAGGACUAGUGGGGUCCGCUUCAUCUGGUCAUCAGGAACUGAGGGACUGGAAACAAAGCCUGGCUUGGCUGGGCAGAAGCUGGAGCUUGAGCAAGAUGUGGCUGAGCUGGGGCUUGAGCGAGACGAGGCUGAGCUGGAGCUUGGGCGAGACGUGGCUGAGCUGGAGAUUAGGAUUGUGGCUGAGACGGAGCCUGAGCGAGCCGUGGCUGAGCUGGAGCUAGGCUUGAGCAGGUUGUGGAGGAUGAGCAGGAACAUGAGCCAGACCUGAAGAUAGAGCUGAAGAUGGGCAAGAUGGCUGCACUGUAGCUGGGCAAGAUAGCUGUGCGGUGGCUUGACCUAGGCACGAUGGCUGCAUGGGGGCUUGAGCUGGGCACGAGGGCUUGAGCUGGGCACGGGGCCUUAAGCUGGGCUUGAUGGCUGCACAGGGGGUCAGACGUGGCUGGGCAACAGAUGCAGCAGCAGAUGCCAGCUCAGACAAAUGAGACCUGGACACCGGAAUCCAAACUGGAAUAUGACGAGAACCUGGAGCUAGACGCGGAAUGCAGGUACAGGGGACCGCAGUGGUCUCUGCGUCAAGGACUGAAUUGGAGAGCGUUGCAGGGCUGGGGUAAAGCUUUUAAGAACAGUUGUACAAAAUAAAACAGCAAAUGGCAAGAAAUGAUGACCAGAGAAACAGAGCUGUGACAGUGAUUCAGCUGAUUCAGAUUUGGCUUUGCCGUGAAUGACUUGUUUCCACAAAUGCGAGAUUAACCCAGCCCUAGUUUAGCCCUAGCAGAUAAGUUGAUGCUAAUAAGUACGUUAGCAUUAGUAUUUUGAAUUGAAUUUCGGUUUUAAACUGACAUAACUGGUAAAUGCUCCUAUAGUAAAUACUAUAAUCGUCUGCCACAGAUGACCAUCAUUUCGUAGUCUUAGCAAUCCAUGCACUAAAUAACAGGGGCGUAUUGUGGUAUAUACUUGUGUUAUAUUGUCUCAUGGGCCAAAUGAUAAUAAUGAGAUACAAACCCUGUUUUUCUGGUAAUUAAAAUUGAAAGCCUG